CAGCCGCCGCGGUAAUACAGAGGGUGCGAGCGUUAAUCGGAAUUACUGGGCGUAAAGCGCACGCAGGCGGUCUGUCAAGUCGGAUGUGAAAUCCCCGGGCUCAACCUGGGAACUGCAUUCGAAACUGGCAGGCUAGAGUCUUGUAGAGGGGGGUAGAAUUCCAGGUGUAGCGGUGAAAUGCGUAGAGAUCUGGAGGAAUACCGGUGGCGAAGGCGGCCCCCUGGACAAAGACUGACGCUCAGGUGCGAAAGCGUGGGGAGCAAACAGGAUUAGAUACCCGCGUAGUCCCUGUCUCUUAUAC
This 301-nucleotide ribosomal RNA is filed under the name uncultured bacterium. Its description in RNAcentral is "partial 16S ribosomal RNA". It matches the Rfam family "Bacterial small subunit ribosomal RNA", at positions 509 to 807 of the family's 1533-position model. The record is from RNAcentral.